RNAcentral lists this ribosomal RNA (403 nucleotides) under Fusobacteriota bacterium. Its description in RNAcentral is "Fusobacteria bacterium partial 16S ribosomal RNA". It matches the Rfam family "Bacterial small subunit ribosomal RNA", at positions 355 to 776 of the family's 1533-position model. The record is from RNAcentral. Lineage: Bacteria; Fusobacteriati; Fusobacteriota.
UGGGGAAUAUUGCACAAUGGGGGAAACCCUGAUGCAGCGACGCCGCGUGAGCGAAGAAGGUUUUCGAAUCGUAAAGCUCUGUCCUAUGGGAAGAUAAUGACGGUACCAUAGGAGGAAGCCCCGGCUAACUACGUGCCAGCAGCCGCGGUAAUACGUAGGGGGCAAGCGUUGUCCGGAAUCACUGGGCGUAAAGGGUUCGCAGGCGGAAAUGCAAGUCAGUUGUGAAAGGCAGAGGCUCAACCUCUGUAAGCAAUUGAAACUGUAUUUCUUGAGAUGUGGAGAGGCAAGUGGGAUUCCUAGUGUAGCGGUGAAAUGCGUAGAUAUUAGGAAGAAUACCGGUGGCGAAGGCGACUUGCUGGACACAAACUGACGCUGAGGAACGAAAGCGUGGGUAGCAAACAGG